Molecule: ribosomal RNA, 301 nt
Filed under: uncultured bacterium
Lineage: Bacteria
Description: partial 16S ribosomal RNA
Rfam family: Bacterial small subunit ribosomal RNA
Source: RNAcentral
CAGUCGCCGCGGUAAUACGGAGGGGGCUAGCGUUGUUCGGAAUUACUGGGCGUAAAGCGCACGUAGGCGGCUUGGUAAGUUAGAGGUGAAAGCCCGGAGCUCAACUCCGGAAUUGCCUUUAAGACUGCCGAGCUAGUAGGUGAGAGAGGUAAGUGGAAUUCUGAGUGUAGAGGUGAAAUUCGUAGAUAUUCGGAAGAACACCAGUGGCGAAGGCGGCUUACUGGCUCAUUCUAGACGCCGAGGUGCGAAAGCGUGGGGAGCAAACAGGAUUAGAUACCCGCGUAGUCCCUGUCUCUUAUAA